This 468-nucleotide ribosomal RNA is filed under the name uncultured bacterium. RNAcentral describes it as "partial 16S ribosomal RNA". It matches the Rfam family "Bacterial small subunit ribosomal RNA", at positions 28 to 507 of the family's 1533-position model. The record is from RNAcentral.
GACGAACGCUGGCGGCGUGCUUAACACAUGCAAGUCGAACGGAAAGGCCCUGCUUUUGUGGGGUGCUCGAGUGGCGAACGGGUGAGUAACACGUGAGUAACCUGCCCUUGACUUUGGGAUAACUUCAGGAAACUGGGGCUAAUACCGGAUAGGAGCUCCUGCCGCAUGGUGGGGGUUGGAAAGUUUCGGCGGUUGGGGAUGGACUCGCGGCUUAUCAGCUUGUUGGUGGGGUAGUGGCUUACCAAGGCUUUGACGGGUAGCCGGCCUGGGAGGGUGACCGGCCACAUUGGGACUGAGAUACGGCCCAGACUCCUACGGGAGGCAGCAGUGGGGAAUAUUGCACAGUGGGCGGAAGCCUGAUGCAGCAACGCCGCGUGCGGGAUGACGGCCUUCGGGUUGUAAACUGCUUUCGCCUGUGACGAAGCGUGAGUGACGGUAAUGGGUAAAGAAGCACCGGCUAACUACGUG